RNAcentral lists this ribosomal RNA (492 nucleotides) under uncultured bacterium. Its description in RNAcentral is "partial 16S ribosomal RNA". It matches the Rfam family "Bacterial small subunit ribosomal RNA", at positions 29 to 507 of the family's 1533-position model. The record is from RNAcentral.
AGUGAACGCUGGCGGUAGGCCUAACACAUGCAAGUCGAACGGCAGCACAGUAAGAGCUUGCUCUUACGGGUGGCGAGUGGCGGACGGGUGAGGAAUACAUCGGAAUCUACUUUUUCGUGGGGGAUAGCGUAGGGAAACUUACGCUAAUACCGCAUACGACCUACGGGUGAAAGCAGGGGAUCUUCGGACCUUGCGCGAUUGAAUGAGCCGAUGUCGGGUUAGCUAGUUGGCGGGGUAAAGGCCCACCAAGGCGACGAUCCGUAGCUGGUCUGAGAGGAUGAUCAGCCACACUGGAACUGAGACACGGUCCAGACUCCUACGGGAGGCAGCAGUGGGGAAUAUUGGACAAUGGGCGCAAGCCUGAUCCAGCCAUACCGCGUGGGUGAAGAAGGCCUUCGGGUUGUAAAGCCCUUUUGUUGGGAAAGAAAAGCAGCAGGUUAAUACCCCGCUGUUCUGACGGUACCCAAAGAAUAAGCACCGGCUAACUUCGUG